GAUGAACGCUAGCUACAGGCUUAACACAUGCAAGUCGAGGGGCAGCAUUUCAGUUUGCUUGCAAACUGGAGAUGGCGACCGGCGCACGGGUGAGUAACACGUAUCCAACCUGCCGAUAACUCGGGGAUAGCCUUUCGAAAGAAAGAUUAAUACCCGAUGGUAUAAUCAGACCGCAUGGUCUUGUUAUUAAAGAAUUUCGGUUAUCGAUGGGGAUGCGUUCCAUUAGGCAGUUGGUGAGGUAACGGCUCACCAAACCUUCGAUGGAUAGGGGUUCUGAGAGGAAGGUCCCCCACAUUGGAACUGAGACACGGUCCAAACUCCUACGGGAGGCAGCAGUGAGGAAUAUUGGUCAAUGGGCGCAGGCCUGAACCAGCCAAGUAGCGUGAAGGAUGACUGCCCUAUGGGUUGUAAACUUCUUUUAUAUGGGAAUAAAGUUUUCCACGUGUGGAAUUUUGUAUGUACCAUAUGAAUAAGGAUCGGCUAACUCCGUGCCAGCAGCCGCGGUAAUACGGAGGAUCCGAGCGUUAUCCGGAUUUAUUGGGUUUAAAGGGAGCGUAGGUGGACAGUUAAGUCAGUUGUGAAAGUUUGCGGCUCAACCGUAAAAUUGCAGUUGAUACUGGCUGUCUUGAGUACAGUAGAGGUGGGCGGAAUUCGUGGUGUAGCGGUGAAAUGCUUAGAUAUCACGAAGAACUCCGAUUGCGAAGGCAGCUCACUGGACUGCAACUGACACUGAUGCUCGAAAGUGUGGGUAUCAAACAGGAUUAGAUACCCUGGUAGUCCACACAGUAAACGAUGAAUACUCGCUGUUUGCGAUAUACAGUAAGCGGCCAAGCGAAAGCAUUAAGUACUCCACCUGGGGAGUACGCCGGCAACGGUGAAACUCAAAGGAAUUGACGGGGGCCCGCACAAGCGGAGGAACAUGUGGUUUAAUUCGAUGAUACGCGAGGAACCUUACCCGGGCUUAAAUUGCAUUUGAAUAUAUUGGAAACAGUAUAGCCGUAAGGCAAAUGUGAAGGUGCUGCAUGGUUGUCGUCAGCUCGUGCCGUGAGGUGUCGGCUUAAGUGCCAUAACGAGCGCAACCCUUAUCUUUAGUUACUAACAGGUCAUGCUGAGGACUCUAGAGAGACUGCCGUCGUAAGAUGUGAGGAAGGUGGGGAUGACGUCAAAUCAGCACGGCCCUUACGUCCGGGGCUACACACGUGUUACAAUGGGGGGUACAGAAGGCAGCUACCUGGUGACAGGAUGCUAAUCCCAAAAGCCUCUCUCAGUUCGGAUCGAAGUCUGCAACCCGACUUCGUGAAGCUGGAUUCGCUAGUAAUCGCGCAUCAGCCAUGGCGCGGUGAAUACGUUCCAGGGCCU
RNAcentral lists this ribosomal RNA (1359 nucleotides) under uncultured bacterium. RNAcentral describes it as "bacterial SSU rRNA". It matches the Rfam family "Bacterial small subunit ribosomal RNA", at positions 28 to 1381 of the family's 1533-position model. The record is from RNAcentral.